AACGAACGCUGGCGGCAGGCUUAACACAUGCAAGUCGAACGCAUCCUUCGGGGUGAGUGGCAGACGGGUGAGUAACGCGUGGGAACGUGCCCUUCAGUUCGGGAUAACCCAGGGAAACUUGGGCUAAUACCGGAUACGUGCGAGAGCAGAAAGAUUUAUCGCUGAAGGAUCGGCCCGCGUCUGAUUAGCUAGUUGGUGGGGUAAGGGACCACCAAGGCGACGAACAGUAGCUGGUCUGAGAGGAUGAUCAGCCACAUGGGGACUGAGACACGGCCCAAACUCCUACGGGAGGCAGCAGUGGGGAAUAUUGGACAAUGGGCGCAAGCCUGAUCCAGCCAUGCCGCGUGAGUGAUGAAGGCCUUAGGGUUGUAAAGCUCUUUCGUCCGGGACGAUAAUGACGGUACCGGAAGAAGAAGCCCCGGCUAACUUCGUGCCAGCCGCCGCUGUAA
Molecule: ribosomal RNA, 449 nt
Filed under: uncultured bacterium
Lineage: Bacteria
Description: partial 16S ribosomal RNA
Rfam family: Bacterial small subunit ribosomal RNA
Source: RNAcentral